GAAUACCAAACACGUCAUCAGGGACAUAUUUGAGAAAUUUUGCACAUACUUUACAUUUAUAGACACAUGUCAGAUAUUUAAAUGUAAAGCUGUAACAGAGAAACUCGACCCCUUCAUCGGGUGAAAUGAUCCGAGUUUUGAGGAUGAGGAUUUCGAUGAAGGUCUAGUACCAACAUGUUUUUGACCCUUGACCUCCUCGUCCCUCCUACUGUCUCAGUUUUUUUGUGAUUGAUGUGGAAAGUAUUUUUCUGUUCUGUGUUUGU
Etheostoma spectabile (orangethroat darter) is the source of this 263-nucleotide long non-coding RNA. RefSeq lists it as uncharacterized. The transcript is spliced from 2 exons. The record is from RefSeq and is a predicted model, not a curated record. Lineage: Eukaryota; Metazoa; Chordata; Actinopteri; Perciformes; Percidae.